AGGUAAGACUUUCAGAAAGAUGUACUCACCAAUAGCUUGCUAUUUGUUGUGAAUAUUUGUUCCACACUUCAAGAAGACUUUGAAUAACUUCACAUGGUGCCAUCUCCCAGUGAGGCCUGGGCUUGUCCUAAAGUCAGGAAGAAGUGACAACCUGGAGUCACCAAAGAUUGUAACCAGUGAAGAGUAUGCGUUGCGUGAACCUGAAAACUCCAAGCAAACCUUGACAUCUCAGCAAAUUCACCUGUUGGAUAAGGAAUUUACUCCAUGUCCUUGUGCCAUUCCUGUUGCCACCACAUAGGAGCAUCCACCGUCACUAACAUCCAUUCAGUCACAAACCAGCCUCAAAUUAUUUCCAUUUGAUGGCUGGGGGAGAAAUGUAAUUUGUUCACAAAAGAAAUCUGUGAUAAACUCCAAGUCUCCAUCAGUUGAAUCAAGACCAUAUGUUAUUUUUUUUCCCUUCCAUUCUUGUGAGAACUGAGGUCCCUUCACUUAAAUUUACCCAUUUCCAGAGGAGCAGGAAGGUCUAGCCAUCAGCAGGCAUAAGCACAUGGGCUGCAUUUACUUUUUUUGCUCCCCUCAUUUCUGUGGACCACGUGUGAGGUCUGAAGCCAAUGUCCACACAGUUAACAGCUGAGAAAUAAAACUAAUUUAUUAAUGUCCAUUACUCCCUAUUCUCCAGGAGAAGGGCAAUUUUGCCAAGCUUAUUCAUAAAAUUAAGAAGUCUGGUAGAGCAAUACUCCUUCCUUGAAGCAUCACUAUUUUCUUUCACCAGAUAAAUGUAUCCCACCUAGGUCUGUUUGGCACAACAGAGACCUCUAAAGAUUGGUUAGAUUAACUGUAUCUCCAGAGACAUAUCUGGCAUUAAUUCUUAUUUAAAGGUAGAAGUGUGGCUCUGCAUCAUGUAUUGCCCCCUUCAUGCUGA
This is a long non-coding RNA of Cygnus olor (mute swan), 922 nucleotides long. RefSeq lists it as uncharacterized. Lineage: Eukaryota; Metazoa; Chordata; Aves; Anseriformes; Anatidae. The transcript has 2 exons. The record is from RefSeq and is a predicted model, not a curated record.